Molecule: ribosomal RNA, 1224 nt
Filed under: Lactiplantibacillus paraplantarum
Lineage: Bacteria; Bacillati; Bacillota; Bacilli; Lactobacillales; Lactobacillaceae
Description: bacterial SSU rRNA
Rfam family: Bacterial small subunit ribosomal RNA
Source: RNAcentral
UGGAUGGUCCCGCGGCGUAUUAGCUAGAUGGUGAGGUAACGGCUCACCAUGGCAAUGAUACGUAGCCGACCUGAGAGGGUAAUCGGCCACAUUGGGACUGAGACACGGCCCAAACUCCUACGGGAGGCAGCAGUAGGGAAUCUUCCACAAUGGACGAAAGUCUGAUGGAGCAACGCCGCGUGAGUGAAGAAGGGUUUCGGCUCGUAAAACUCUGUUGUUAAAGAAGAACAUAUCUGAGAGUAACUGUUCAGGUAUUGACGGUAUUUAACCAGAAAGCCACGGCUAACUACGUGCCAGCAGCCGCGGUAAUACGUAGGUGGCAAGCGUUGUCCGGAUUUAUUGGGCGUAAAGCGAGCGCCGGCGGUUUUUUAAGUCUGAUGUGAAAGCCUUCGGCUCAACCGAAGAAGUGCAUCGGAAACUGGGAAACUUGAGUGCAGAAGAGGACAGUGGAACUCCAUGUGUAGCGGUGAAAUGCGUAGAUAUAUGGAAGAACACCAGUGGCGAAGGCGGCUGUCUGGUCUGUAACUGACGCUGAGGCUCGAAAGUAUGGGUAGCAAACAGGAUUAGAUACCCUGGUAGUCCAUACCGUAAACGAUGAAUGCUAAGUGUUGGAGGGUUUCCGCCCUUCAGUGCUGCAGCUAACGCAUUAAGCAUUCCGCCUGGGGAGUACGGCCGCAAGGCUGAAACUCAAAGGAAUUGACGGGGGCCCGCACAAGCGGUGGAGCAUGUGGUUUAAUUCGAAGCUACGCGAAGAACCUUACCAGGUCUUGACAUACUAUGCAAAUCUAAGAGAUUAGACGUUCCCUUCGGGGACAUGGAUACAGGUGGUGCAUGGUUGUCGUCAGCUCGUGUCGUGAGAUGUUGGGUUAAGUCCCGCAACGAGCGCAACCCUUAUUAUCAGUUGCCAGCAUUAAGUUGGGCACUCUGGUGAGACUGCCGGUGACAAACCGGAGGAAGGUGGGGAUGACGUCAAAUCAUCAUGCCCCUUAUGACCUGGGCUACACACGUGCUACAAUGGAUGGUACAACGAGUUGCGAACUCGCGAGAGUAAGCUAAUCUCUUAAAGCCAUUCUCAGUUCGGAUUGUAGGCUGCAACUCGCCUACAUGAAGUCGGAAUCGCUAGUAAUCGCGGAUCAGCAUGCCGCGGUGAAUACGUUCCCGGGCCUUGUACACACCGCCCGUCACACCAUGAGAGUUUGUAACACCCAAAGUCGGUGGGGUAAC